GCCUUCGUGGUGUAGUGGUCAACACGCUCGACGCGUAUUCGAGAAAUUGGUUCGAGUCCCGGCCAGGGCA
RNAcentral lists this transfer RNA (70 nucleotides) under Stegodyphus mimosarum. It matches the Rfam family "tRNA". Rfam says of the family: Transfer RNA (tRNA) molecules are approximately 80 nucleotides in length. Their secondary structure includes four short double-helical elements and three loops (D, anti-codon, and T loops). The record is from Rfam by way of RNAcentral. Lineage: Eukaryota; Metazoa; Arthropoda; Arachnida; Araneae; Eresidae.